Molecule: ribosomal RNA, 526 nt
Filed under: uncultured bacterium
Lineage: Bacteria
Description: partial 16S ribosomal RNA
Rfam family: Bacterial small subunit ribosomal RNA
Source: RNAcentral
UGGGGAAUUUUGGACAAUGGGGGCAACCCUGAUCCAGCAAUGCCGCGUGUGUGAAGAAGGCCUUCGGGUUGUAAAGCACUUUUGUCCGGAAAGAAAACGCCGUGGUUAAUACCCGUGGCGGAUGACGGUACCGGAAGAAUAAGCGCCGGCUAACUACGUGCCAGCAGCCGCGGUAAUACGUAGGGUGCAAGCGUUAAUCGGAAUUACUGGGCGUAAAGCGUGCGCAGGCGGUCCGCUAAGACAGAUGUGAAAUCCCCGGGCUUAACCUGGGAACUGCAUUUGUGACUGGCGGGCUAGAGUAUGGCAGAGGGGGGUAGAAUUCCACGUGUAGCAGUGAAAUGCGUAGAGAUAUGGAGGAAUACCGAUGGCGAAGGCAGCCCCCUGGGCCAAUACUGACGCUCAUGCACGAAAGCGUGGGGGAGCAAACAGGAUUAGAUACCCUGGUAGUCCACGCCCUAACGAUGUCAACUAGUUGUCGGGUCUUCAUUGACUUGGUAACGUAGCUAACGCGUGAAGUUGACCGCCU